Non-coding RNA from Hordeum vulgare subsp. vulgare (domesticated barley), 136 nucleotides. The record is from Rfam. Lineage: Eukaryota; Viridiplantae; Streptophyta; Magnoliopsida; Poales; Poaceae.
AUAAUACUCACUCUGUUCCAAAUUUCUUGUCUUAGGUUUGUCUAGAAAUGAAUGUGUCUAAAUACUAAAAUGUGACUAGAUACAUUCAUAUCUACACAAAUCUAAGACAAGAAUUUUGGGACGGAGGGAGUAUAAU